AGAAGAAAAUAAAAUGAGCAAUAAACAAAAGAACUUUAACCAAAGCAGACUACUAUGGUGACAGAGAAGACCAACUCAGUUGAGGACAGUUGUCCACAGAAGAAAUCUCAAAAAAAUUAUUGGUUUACCUGAAGGUCAUUUACCAAAAAAAGCAGCCUUGAUAUAUUAGAAGCAAAGGGGGAAAUAGUCACUGAAAGAAUGUCCACAAGGAACAUUGUUGCAAAACUCCAGAAGUAUAAUCUCAAAGCAAAAAUACUGCAAGCUACCAGAAAAAAGCAAUUUAAGUAUCAAGGAGCAACAGUCAGAGUUACUCAGGAUCUGGCAGCUUCUGUAACAAAGUAUCUGAGGUCUGGAACACCAUAUUCUAAAAGGCAAAGGACCCUGAGGUUACACAAAGACUAAACUACUAUGACUGAGCAGCAUUUUUCAGAGGAGAUGGAUCUUCACUGAAGUUAGAGAGUUUCAAUCAUUUCUAUUGAAAAACCCGAACUAAACAACAUUUGAUCUUCAAACACAGGACUCCAGAGAAGUAUACAAAGGAUAUCUCACCUCCCAUCUCUGUUCCUGGGGAUGCUCUUACUUCUUGGUCAUCUGCAGAACAUCAGAGGGCAGAUGUACCAGAGAAAAUUCUCCAUGUGGAAAAAAAAAAAGUCCUAAUUCUAGGCAUGGUACUCUAUCCACUUCUCCACCUACCUGCUUUUGGAACAGGAUAACACUGAAAAUCCCAUAUUGAGCCUGAUGAUGCAGAUUUGUAAUUUCAAGUACAGGAGAGACUGAGAGAUGAGAAACCUGAAGCUGAUAAAAGGUUAAUGGAUCACACAGUUCAUCAACGUCAGAGGGAAGAUUUGAGUUCUUAGUCCAUUCCCAGCCAUGCCACUAACUGCCUUGCAAGUGCUAAUGACAUAGUUAUGUCAUCUUCAACUGGGGGGGCUGGGAAGUGAUUAAUGUGUUUUUUUUUUCAUUCAUUUGACAUACAUUCAGCAUCUGCUAGAUACUGUGGAGAUUAAUGUGUUCUUAUACCUUUUCAUAAGGAAAGACUGAAAACAGUGCAUUUUCAUUAUAGCAUCAAACAUUGGAAACUACAAGUAUUAUCUUAGGCCAGCAUUUUGAUGGAAAGAGAAAUUCAAAUAAAUUUUAACAUGCUCACCUGUGAUUUUGAAUCACACAUCAUUCUCCCUCAGUGCUUAUCGGGUGCAAUCGAAACAAGGAAGUUCAGCGCCAUAUGGUGGAUGUUUCUCUCCAAUUCAGUGCUUUUAGAACA
Sarcophilus harrisii (Tasmanian devil) is the source of this 1261-nucleotide long non-coding RNA. RefSeq lists it as uncharacterized. The record is from RefSeq and is a predicted model, not a curated record. The transcript is spliced from 3 exons. Lineage: Eukaryota; Metazoa; Chordata; Mammalia; Dasyuromorphia; Dasyuridae.